AAUGGAAACAUUAAAACAAUGGCUACCUGAAGAAGAUGAAGGAAAGGUAGAAAUGGUGGCAUUGAAGUAGAUGAGGAACAGCUAGAACCAAGAUCUGAUGAUGAGGAUAAUACAAAUUUUGAAGAAUCUGAAGAUGAACUGAGAGAUGAAGUAGUAGAAUCCUUAGGAAAACUCGCUACUUUCAAAGGGGAAGAAAAAACAGACGAGGCCUCCACUGCCUCUCAGGAUUCUGGAAAGUCAAGAGAAAAAGACGCGAUAAGUGUGCAGAAACCUGAAGAAUUAAGUGAAGGUUUGGAGAAUAUUUCUACUCCAUCUAAUGACCACAUUUGUAUUACUGAUGAAGACCAAGGAACAUCAACGACCAGUCAGAAUGUACAAGUGUGAUUAUUGUACUUUUUCUUAAUAAGUUAGUAUCUGUUACCUAUAGUAUUUGGGUACAAGUCACAAAUGCUCAUUUACUGUAAGGGUUUUCUAGUCAUCGCAAGGAUGUAUUAAUUUUUCUUUCAAUUUAGAAAGUACAACUAACUUUUGAGUGUAGACAUUAAUAUUUUUAAAGUUUCGAUUAAGAAAUCUUUCAGCUAACACGUGGUAGGCAGAGUAAUGUGGCUCAACACCUCCCUCCAAAACGUGUUCCGUCCUAAUCCCCACAGUUUGUGAAUAAGGCACAGGAGAAUUAAAGUUGCAGGUGAAAUUGUUUGCUCAUCAGCUGACCUUAAAAUAGGGAGGUUAUCUUGGUUUAUCCACGUGAGUGCAGUGUAAUCACAAGAGUCCUUACGAGUGGAAGAGGAAGGCAAAAGAGAAAAGCAGAGAGAUGGCAGCAUGAAAAGGACUCAGCCUGAUGUUGCUGGCCUUGAAGGUGGAGGACAAGGCCACAAACUAAGAAUUCAGACAGCCUCUGGAAUCUGGGAAAGGCAAAGAAAUGGAUUCUUCCCUAGAGCCUCCAGAAGGAACACAGCCCAGCCAACACCUUGAUUUUAUACUGGUGAGAUCCACUUCAGAUUUCUGACCUGCAGAACUGUAAGAUAAUAAAUUUAUGUUAACUAAGUUUGUGAUAAUUUGUUAGGACAGCAGUAUAAAACAAAUACAAUAUACAGAUUCAUUCAUUUAACGUAAUGAAUCUGCUGUUUUAUAAAACUGAUUUUGAAAUUUCUUGUUACAUUGAAUAUACUUUUUUGAAGCUGACGCUGACACAGGAAUAAGGCAAUUGAGCAAGAACAAGGCAGGGUGUGUUAAUUAUGCACUAAAUGACCAUUAGUUUUAUUGGAUUAGUUUCCAGUAGUUUCAGGUGUAUAGGUUGAGGGCAGGGACUGUAUCUGGUCUUUAUAUCUUAUAAUGAUCUCUUUAUAUACAGUUAUUAGUACAGUCAGAAAUGUUUCUUGAAUUAGUAUAUAGCAAAACAUUUCUUUAUUAAGACUAUAAGCUGUUUGGUGUAGGAAGCUAGACUUAAACUUUUUUUAAUUGAUCAUAACAAUUCCAGUGUUGAACAUGUGCCUGGAGCUUACCAGAUGUUUAUUUAAACACUAAUGAGUGUUUAAAUAAAGUCUGGGCUUAGGAAGGAGAAAGUGGUUGUAUUUCAACGUGGUAGAAUUCUGCCUGAAAUAUCUGCUCUAUAAUAAAAGUCAAAUGUCUCAAUGAUGCAUUGUUAAGCUGAGAAAAUAAAAAUGAGGUGAGGUUGAUCAGAUAA
Cebus imitator (Panamanian white-faced capuchin) is the source of this 1684-nucleotide long non-coding RNA. RefSeq lists it as uncharacterized. Lineage: Eukaryota; Metazoa; Chordata; Mammalia; Primates; Cebidae. The record is from RefSeq and is a predicted model, not a curated record. The transcript is spliced from 2 exons.